UGAUCUCCCUUCCCUUCCCGACUUAUUAAAAUAGUCCCCAUGUCCCCUUUUGUCUAGUUAUGUUUGAAUUUGAACGGUUGCAUAGAUAGAUAUUCACGAUACCAAAGCGGGCCCAUUCUGCAGAACCUGGAGGUGUCUCACGGAUCUAAAUGUCUUCAAUUCGAGGGAGAGUGGCCAUAAGAUCGCUGCUGAAUUCUCGUUGGCGGCAUUGGCCUCAGGACUCUUUUAUUUUAUUUUAUUUUAUUUUUAUUCGUUCAAGGCAGUUGCAGAGAUAACUCAGAAGUAUUACUUCCAACAUCAUCGACCUCAACAUCUUCGCCGUCAUGACCCAUCAAGAGCCUUCGUCGCAGCUCAUCAAGCUUCCCCGCCGUUAACUUUAGACAAAAGUCUGAGCUCCGCACUCCAGACCUUCGAAGGGCGAUCCACGCUGCGCAAGGCCCAGUCCUUCCGCGCCCGCCGCCAAUCUGAUUUUAGCUGCGAUCUAGCCAGAGAUUCAUCGAACUGAACCGGCCUAACGAACUUAAUGUAUACGAUGUCGCUGGAGCUUUAGUGUUUUUGCAACAAGGUUUGGCGUGUCCGAGUUCGUUUUCUCCCAUUUUCUCGCCACGGAUGCUGACAUGAUGUCGGUGAUUGGUGCGGAGUUGCCGGUGGCUGAAGCACGUACUACUUUCUGCCCAGGACUCAAUUAUGGAUCCGUGACCAAAGUUUUCUUCCGAGUUUCUUUUUGCUUUGUAGAUGUGAGCGACGAAAGGAAUUGCAAUUGACUAAUUUUUAACGGCAGUGACCAGGAUCCGCGCCCCCUUGUGUGGCUGAAAUAGUUAACUUACGCAGUAACUAGAUGAUGGAAAACGGAAGAAAAGGAAAAGAAAAGACAACCAGAUAAGGAAAAAGCAAGUGACAAAAGGCGGGGGUAGAUAUGAAGAGUACGCCCUCCCUCAUAUCUCUUCCAAGAACAGUAGUGGAGCGCCUAGAUAGAGACUAAGGGAAGCUGGUCGGAUUGAUUAUCGGGGAUUCUGCUUACUGUGGCUACAUAUCCUGCUCAAGCUUCGAUAUCCGCAGCUUAUUCUCGGAGCAGAUAUUCGAUAUGCUUUGUUCAAAAAUGAAGGUUACUGUCCAAAUACAAAAAUGGCCUGGGCUGGUUGUUGCAGAUUCUAUGUCCUGCAUCGUUAGCUGUCGCGUGCAUUCUCUUAUGUAUGCAAGGCAUUUUCUGUUUCUGUUGUGAAUGCAGCUAAAUGUCAACCAAAGGGCAAGCGAAGUGGAUACAUCAAUUUUCUAUCGUUUUAUAUAUCUAUAAUUUUGCCUUCAGCAACCUGCAGGAGUAUUUUUGAGGUAUUUAUUUUAUUGCUGUAGUAUGGUCAAGGUAGCUAAAUCUAUGA
Molecule: small RNA, 1376 nt
Filed under: Histoplasma capsulatum var. duboisii H88
Lineage: Eukaryota; Fungi; Ascomycota; Eurotiomycetes; Onygenales; Ajellomycetaceae
Description: Histoplasma capsulatum H88 hypothetical RNA
Source: RNAcentral